CAGGCUAUAAAAAAGGGACAGGCUGUGUUAAAAAUGCUACAUAAAGAAUAAUCUAAAAAGGCUGAGAGUGAGGUGGGAGAGGACUCUAAAGAAAACAAGAACAAGAAAAGAAUUUCUGCUUUUAGUGGCCAGACCUUCAACUCUUGCUCACAGAAAGAGAGUGCUCAUUAAGAAAAGUUCUUUAGGGAGCCUGCCUUAUCUGCUGGCCCUAUUCCAAGAGAGGAGUCAGUCUCCAACAUUAAAUUACUUUUCUCACUGGUCAUCAUUAGCAUGGAGAAUGCCUUUGAUCCUAUCCCCACAGCAGCCAGUUCCUGCCCCUGUGGUAGAAAUGUCCCAGGUUGGGGGGCAGAGAAGCCCCUAAAAUAGUUUCAAAGAAUCUACAACAAACUGUAAAGAACUUUGUUUUGUUUUGCCAGUUUGAAUUUAGAAUUCAGGCUUUGGCUGUGGCCGAGGUCAGGAUUAAUGUUUUCGUUUCCAUGGGCCCUUAGCCCACUGAGACAGUUUGGUAAAGGACUACUACUACAGUCCUGAUAUUCAGAGACAUGGAGAGAGCUAUAGUUUUUUUAUUAAAGGUUGGUACUAUAGUAUUAACAAUCUCUUUAUUAGAUAUAAGAGACAAGAAGCCCCAGGUGAACUGGUUACAAUUCUUUUGUCAGCUGCUUAGUAUCUAACACUCAGGUUCUAUCGUCUCUCCAUCCUUUUAUUAUUAGUUGUUACUGAAAGCCUAGUGCCAUUUAGAGGAUGGGUCUCUUGAGUGAUAAAGCCACUGAGCUGGCACUAAAGGAAGGUACUCCUUAAGAGAAAAUCUAAGUCCAGAGAGACAACCGGUAACAGAUAGACUGCCCCUCUGCUCACUUUUCUGUUUCACAGACACAAGGUCUUUUUGUCCCAAGAAAGCCUCCUGGCUUAGCUGUGUGACUAAAUGCUAUUUGCCCUCUUCAGUGGACCUCUAUUCUCAAGAUUCUCUUGUUUUCUCACCAUCCCAUUUGAGAUGCUUGUUAGUAACUGUUACAGGUCUUCUUUACCACCGAGGAAAGACAAAAUCCUACUAGAGGCCAGAAAAAGUGUUCCAGAGAUGGAUGGAAGGCCCUCACUUCUGCCUGCUCUUUUCAGACGCCUAAAGGUAGGGAGUGCCAGGUCUGCCGCCAGGCUCCAAGGGUGGGUCUCUGAGGGGCUAAAAAAUGCCCCACCAAUCUGGCUAAGAUAAAGAAAGGAUAUGAAGAAAAAGUUACAAAAAUUUAAAGGGUUAAGUUAAGUUGCUGAGAGUUAGUACAAGUUACAGAGAAAGAGGUAAAAAAAACAGAAAGCU
This 1309-nucleotide long non-coding RNA is filed under the name Rattus norvegicus (Norway rat). RNAcentral describes it as "long non-coding RNA NONRATT000216". The record is from RNAcentral. Lineage: Eukaryota; Metazoa; Chordata; Mammalia; Rodentia; Muridae.